Molecule: long non-coding RNA, 235 nt
Filed under: Olea europaea (common olive)
Lineage: Eukaryota; Viridiplantae; Streptophyta; Magnoliopsida; Lamiales; Oleaceae
Description: long non-coding RNA (OEUR_LNC014782)
Source: RNAcentral
AGUGCUAAUUGGCCUUUCCUGACCCCUACGUCGUGAUGUCAGUACUUGAUCCCACCAAGAUAUCGCGUAAUCCACAAAUUCAAGCACCGCCAAUUUUACCUUUUUCUCCUCUGAAUAAUUAUAGCACUCGAAAAUCAUCUCAACCUUUCUUUCCCAAUCUAAAUAUGCUUCCGGGUCGCUUCUCCCCUUAAAUUGCGGAAUAGUUAUUUUAAUACUUCCCAAAUUUCCAUCUACU